This 7002-nucleotide long non-coding RNA is filed under the name Brassica napus (rape). Its description in RNAcentral is "long non-coding RNA (BNAP_LNC012705)". The record is from RNAcentral. Lineage: Eukaryota; Viridiplantae; Streptophyta; Magnoliopsida; Brassicales; Brassicaceae.
GAACCUUCGCCGGAAGUGUUUCUAGCUCGCGAAGAACCUUCUCAAAGUCUGCGACCAAUCUCUCAGCUAAGGUUCGAGAGAAAUCUUCUCGAAUCACCACUCGGAGGACGGUGACGUGUUCUGCAUCCGCGGGCAUCGUGUAGGCCGGAACGAUCCACCCGAAGCGGCGGAGAGUUUCGGCCACUUCGAACUCGUCGUGGCGGCUACUGUCUUUUAGAGAAAACGCCACUAAAGGAACACCGUUUUCUUUGGAGACAAUGUUGAAACGUCCCGUUUUCUCUAAUCCUUCUCUUAAGACCAUCAUGUUUUCGCGGCAAUUAUCCAUCACGUUACGAUAUCCCUAAACCCACAAAAAAUUAUCAAUCAAUAAUAUUACUUUACAAAGUUACGCAUGAUAAUAUAUUUUACUCACUUAUAUGUAGUUUUCAACAAGACCAGUUCAACAUUUUGGGGACUUUGAGACUACAAAAAGCUAUAUAUUUUAAAAAAGUUUUACUAAAUUUUCUCUUUUAAAAAUUUAGAAAUAAUAUUUUUGAACAUUUUAUAAUAUAUACACAAAAUAUCUUAAAAUUUCAACCUAAUAGUUAAAAAAAAAUAGUUGAAGAAGUUUUGGAGAUUUUAUCGGAAGAACAUCGGAUUAGACGCAGAAUGGUCGCACCACUUGUUCCCUCCUAAACCAGCACUGUUCAGUCAUUUUGAGUUACUAACCUCGAAUCCAAGACGAAUCAGCUGGUAGUACUGAGCAAUCACUUGACUCGAACCUAGUUUAUACAAGCAUUAACAAAUCAUUAGUUAUGCAUACAAUAUAUAAUAUUUUUAUACAAAUAUAGAAAUGGUAGUGUAAUAUGCUACCUUUGGAGAAGUUGAGAGUGAAGGUGGGUUGAUCAGCGCCGAGAUAAUUGAUGUGGAAGAUAAGUUCUUCCGGCAGAUCAGAUUUGGUUCUCCACACAACCCAACCGAUUCCGGCAUAAACCAAACCGUAUUUGUGACCACUGACAUUUAUGCUCUUAACCAAUGGUAACCGGAAGUCCCACUCCAGCUCCGGAUACAAGAACGGUGCAAUAAACCCACCACUCGCUGCAUCCACGUGAAUCCCCGUAUCCCAUCUGCGAAUUAAAGAAAAAAUUUUAAACCGGAAAUGAACCGGUUAAAAUCGAUUAAUUAAUAGCUACAUGUUAGUUCAAUUACCUGGUUAGCUUGUUUUUCUCGACUAGGAGGUCAUUGAGGAGCUUAACGUCUUCGAACUCUCCGGUUAGCCUCGAACCUAGAAUGGCUGCUACACAAAUGGUGUUCUCGUCUACCAUUUCGACUGCCUUUUCAGGGUCCAUCACGUAGUAUCCUUCUCUUAGCUUCACUUCCUUAAGCUCCACCUCGAAAUACCUUGCGAAUUUCUCCCAGCAAACCUAUAUUAAACCGGAUAUUAGUAAACCAUAGACCUUAACCGGAAAUAUCAUCUUUUGGUUUAAUAUUUCAAUUCUCUGGUUGGUUUAGCUCUGUAAUUUGCGAAAGAAAAAAAAGAGAACUAAGACUCCAUUAGAAUUUUCUGGUUUGGGGUUUCAGCUUGCGGUUUAGAUUUCUGUUUCAAGAUAGAGAAAUAAAGAGCUAAACCGGUUUAAUCUUGUGCUUUGUUACCUGAACAUUAGCUCCGGUUACGAUAUUGGGCUUAUCAUAAGGAAGCCCUUGGGCCUUACGCUUAUUCUGCCACUGUCUCUUAAAAGCCAACCCGGCCAACAUAAUCGCCUCCGACGAUCCCACGGUGCCGACACCAACCGCAGCCUCGCCGUCAUCGAGCGGCGCGUUAAAGAGACGCGCAAUCAUGUUGACGCAUCGGUUCUGAAGCUCGGUGGUGACAGGGUACUCGUCCAUGUCAACGUAGUUCUUGUUGAUGGAUUCCAUCAUGAGCUUGUCACACUCUGGCUCCAUCCACGUGGUUACGAAAGAGGCUAGGUUUAGCCUAGGGUUACCGUCGAGCAUUAGCUCAUCGUUGAUGAUCUGAUACGCUGCUUCCUUAGGGAUAGAGUUCUCAGGCAUCUCGAAUCUGAUGAUGAUGAAAACAUUAGGUUAAAAAUAUAAAAGCAUAUUAACGACGUGACAAGUCAUGCAAUGAAACGUUACUAUUAGUUUCAUGCAAUAUUUCAUAGCUCAUAUUCUCACCGUGGGAGAGAGUUGCGGACGUAACGAGAAGCAAAAGUUGAAUGGAUUGAAACAUCAGUUUCAGAAGCUGUCUUAGACAAAACCAUCUUCUUUCAAUUCACUCGAAUUGUCUAUGCAAACUUUGAAUGAUAUAUGGGUUUGUAAUGUUUAUGUUUGUAGUUGAAGAAUGUGUGGAAUGAGAAGACGAUAAACAAAUGGUUUAUAUAGUGGAAGAGAGUGGUUCAUUUCGUUUCGUUUUGCGACGUGAGAGGAAGCAUCUAUGGUCUUCGUUUAUGGGCUCCUUUGUAACUUUUCUCCUACCGAUGACUUUUCAUUAAUAUAUAAUAUCAAAGACCAACGAAUCAUUGCUUUCAAAAACUGCAUGAGUAUUAUAAUUAAAUAAAAUAAUAACAGUUGACCGUUAAAAGAAACUUUAAUCUAGUGAUUUAGAGAUUUCUACUAUCAUAUUUCAAUUCACUACAAGAAAACAUCAAGGAUUCUGAGGGAAAAAAUCGUCGGAAUUUCGUCGGAAUAUCGUUAUUCCGACGCAAUUCCGACGAAAUACGUCGUCGGAAAUAAUUCCUCGGAAUUUCUUUUUUCCUCUGAAAUCCCUCGGAAUUUUCCGACGGAAUUCCGAGGAAAUAAAUUUCCGAGGAAAUUCCGAGGAUCCCUUGUUUGUCGGAAAAGUCCUCGGAAUAUACCGAGGUAGAACUUCGUCGGGAUAAUUCCUCGGAAGUUCAUCGAUCGAUGCGUGUUUGGACAUAUAUACAUCGAUCGAUAGGAGUAUACCGACGGACUUUUUCCUCGGUUUAUUCCGAGGAACUGUAUGGUCUGGUUUGAGGGGUGCAGUGGCGCUCUCACUUUCUUUAUCUGUGAAGGUUAGUUUUCAAGAACAUUGUCAAUCUUGUUCUUGUGUCUCUUGAAUUUAUUUUGCCACAUUGCUUCAGUCUUGAAUUAACUUAUUCUUAAUCAUUUGAUUCAGCAAUCAAGCGGAAAUUCAUUUCUCAGCAGGGAGACAGGAACAUUGGUAAGUUCAGAAAAUUGUCUGCAAGGUGUUAUGCCUAAAUGAAUUAUAGAAGACUUAUCUUUUCGGUCUCUUGAUAUUCUCAGUUCUUUUGCAGUUUAUUUUCUUCACAGGUGGAAUUGUGUUUCUAACUCUGAUAGUUAAUGGUUCCACUACCCAAUUUGCUCUGCGCCUUCUUCGAAUGGACGGUUUACCAGCCACAAAGGUCAUAAUCUUUUCACAGACUUCAUUUCCAACUUAAGUAUGAAAUGCUUAAACCCUUUUAUUUAUUCGAAAUUCUCCUUUUUUCUUGUUGACAGCUACGAAUCUUGGAUUAUACAAAGUAUGAAAUGCUGAAUAAGGCCUUACAAGCGUUUGAAGAUCUAGGAGACGAUGAAGAGCUAGGACCUGCUGACUGGCCUACAGUUGAAAAAUAUAUUUCAAGCUUAAAAGAUUCAGAAGGGGAACAAGUUCAUCCUCACAGUGGCUCUAAGACUGGAAAUCUUGACAGUACGAGUUUAAAGGACAUACGUAUACGAUUCUUAAAUGGUAACUAUCAUGUCAUUUUCGAACCAAUUACACUAUCCCAUUAGUCAAAUUAUUUACCCUUAGUUCAAUCAUCAGGUGUUCAGGCAGCUUACUGGGAGAUGCUUGAUGAGGGAAGAAUAUCUGAAAGUACAGCUAAUAUAUUGAUGCGGUCAGUGGAUGAGGCCUUGGAUCGGGUUUCUACGGAGUCUUUAUGUGACUGGAGAGGUCUAAAAGAGCAUGUUAAGUUCCCCGGUUACUACAAUUUUCUUCAUUCUAAACUUAUCCCAGGGAAGUUGGUCAUAUACUUUGCUGUUGAAAGACUCGAAUCUGCAUGCUACAUUUCCGCUGCAUUUCUUCGCGCACAUACAAUUGCGAGGCAGCAACUGUAUGAUUUUAUAGGUAUGUAUGACUGGACCAUCUUUGUUGAUCUAUCAGAGAUAUUGUUUGCAAGUACCCUACUUUUGUCUCUUAGUUAUCUUUCUUCUUUAUACAGGGGAGAGUAGUAUCGGCUCUACUGUAAUCAAGGAGAGUGAAACCGAAGGAGCAGAAGCUAAAGAGUUUUUGGAAAAAGUUCGAUCUUCACUUCCUCAGGUUGAUAGUCGUGUCACUUAUUUAUGGUGAUUUAUCUUUCUCGCGAUGAACCACAUAUAAUCUUUGAUCAACUUGGUGUGUAGGUUCUCCGUGUUGUGAAAACGAAACAAGUAACAUAUUCAGUGCUGAAUCAUUUACUCGAAUACAUUCAAAACCUUGAGAAGAUUGGCUUGUUGGAAGAAAAAGAAAUCGCUCAUCUUCAUGAUGCUGUCCAGGUACCAAAUGAAAGAAUCAUAUUCUUUCAACACAUGGUCAUGUCUCUUUUUUCUAAUUUUACCUCUCUCUCUCUCUCUCUCUCUCUCUCUCUUUGCGCAGACUGGCUUGAAGAAGCUUUUGAGAAACCCUCCAAUAGUAAAACUUCCAAAGUUAAGCGACCUGAUCUCCUCACAUCCGUUAUCUGGUGCUCUUCCUGCUGCAAUAUGUGAACCUCUAAAACACUCGAAGAAAGAAACAAUGAAGCUGCGUGGUGUGACGCUUUAUAAAGAAGGUUCAAAGCCAACUGGAGUCUGGCUUAUUUGUGACGGUAUUGUUAAGGUAAACCCAAAACUUAGUCAUAAUAUCGAAAGGUUCAUGAUCUCCUUCAUCACUGAAAGUUAUCAUGAUAAAUCAUAUUACAGUGGAAAUGCAAAAGCUUAGGCAACAAUCACUCGCUGCAUCCAACUUUCUCUCAUGGUAGUACAUUGGGACUCUACGAAGUCCUCACUGGGAAGCCAUACAUGUGCGACAUGGUUACAGAUUCUGUGGUUCUUUGCUUCUUUAUCAGUAGUGAUAGAAUACUAGCUUUUGUACAUUCGGAUUCUACCAUUGAAGAUUUCCUUUGGAAGGUACGUCUCUAUAUAAAUCCAUUAAAGAGAAACAUCCUCUCGUGAUUGUCAACUUCUUUCCUGUUUCUUCUUUCUCCAGGAAAGUGCAUUGGUGCUUCUCAAACUCCUGCGUCCUCAGAUAUUUGAAAAAGUGGCAAUGCAUGAACUACGAGCCCUUGUUUCAGCUGAAAGCUCAAAACUGACAACAUAUGUAUCUGGAGAAUCAAUCGACAUCGAUUACAACAGCGUCGGUUUGUUAUUAGAAGGAUUCAUAAAACCUGUUGGUAUCCAAGAAGAGCUUGUACCAUCUCCUGCUGCAUUGCUACCUUAUAACGAGAAUCAAAGCUUCCGUAACGCAUCAGAAGCUUCAGGUAAACAAAAAGUCAACACAGAAUACAAAGAAGAAUCAAACCCUCUUAUCAAAAACUGUGUGUUUGGUGUUUUGAUCACAGGUAUCAUGAGAGUUAGUUUCUCAAGACAAGCAACACAAUACAGUGUGGAGACAAGAGCAAGAGUAAUCAGCUUCAACACUGGAGCAUUUGGAGCUCAUAGGACUCUACAACGAAAACCAUCUUCGUUGUCAUCGCAAAUUGGGACAAGUUCCGAGCACCAGCUCCAGAGAUCAUCUAGUAAAGAACACAGAGGUCUCAUGAGCUGGCCUGAAAGUAUUUACAAAACUGAACAACAAGAAGAGAUCAAUAGAAAGGCGUUAAACUUAUCUGAACAAGCAAGACAACUUAGCAUUUUCGGCAGCAAGGUAAAAAAGAUAACACACUUUGAGAUGAGUUAUGAGAUUGUCAACUUCUCGACUAACAAGAAACGUUCUGAAUCAGGUUAAUCUGUUCACAAGGAGUGCAAGUUUCGGAGGGAUCAUCAACAACAAGCCACAAGAUAACGUAUUGUACAAGAAACAUCCAUUAGACGCAGCGAAAUCAGAAAGCUCCAUGGCCACCAGGGAGCAGGUUGAGACCAGGAAGUUUGUGUCUCAGCUUCCUGCACACGUAGCCUCAGGAGAGAGCAGCACAAGAAGGAAACCAAUGGCGGAGUCGAGCGAUGAUGAAGAGGAAGGAAUCAUUGUGAGGAUCGAUUCUCCGAGCACAAUCGUUUUCAGGAAUGAUAUGUGAGGGCAUUGAGAUGUUUUGUAACAUAAUAAAAAGAAGAAAAAUGUUAGCUUACAGAGUUAUUGUGCAAAAGAAUAAAAGGCAAAACAACAGACGCUGUUUUGAUGAAGGUUUGCUAGAAACAUUGACAAAUCCACAGACACCGAUCUUUUUGUAUGCGCUUAUAUAUUUCCAUGUUAUUUAUUCAACAUAUCAAGGUUUUUUUUUCUGUCAACUAACAAAUGGUGAGUAGAUGGGGUAAGUAAUGAAAGUCUAAAAGUUAUAUGGGUUGAGAACUAUAUUUUUAAAAAAUUAACGUAUUUAUAUACCCAUAAAUUAGGUACUAUAAAAUUGUAUUUAUUUAAAUUUAUUCAAAUUACCAAUCAUCAACAUGAGAUCAUAAUUAAGGAAAAUUUGAAACCAAAAAUAAUCAGAGCAGCAUGAAAGAAAAGGGUUUCAAAGGUAGCUUAAUUAGAGAUAAAAACAACAAAAUAUUAACUCAUUAAACUUUAUGAGCAAAUCUUGUUCUUGUUAGUCUUCUUUGUCUCCACAACCUUCUUCCAAUAUGCCGUAACUUCCCUCGUCGUCUCCUCCUCCGUCUUCUUAACACCUUUAGCUUUUCCAUUAGCCAUCUUGGCGUGAACCUUCGCCGGAAGUGUUUCUAGCUCGCGAAGAACCUUCUCAAAGUCUGCGACCAAUCUCUCAGCUAAGGUUCGAGAGAAAUCUUCUCGAAUCACCACUCGGAGGACGGUGACGUGUUCUGCAUCCGCGGGCAUCGUGUAGGCCGGAACGAUCCACCCGAAGCGGCGGAGAGUUUCGGCCACUUCGAACUCGUCGUGGCGGC